AGCUCUAAGUGGGUGGUAAACUCCAUCUAAGGCUAAAUAUGACUACGAGACCGAUACGGGCCCGUCGCAAGCGAGGCCAGUGUCUUACGGAGUUACGGACCUAGUGCCGUACCCGUGGCUGGCCAGCUGUUGGCAGGCGGAGUCCUUUGACGGGCAAUACACAAUGAUACCGGUCUGCGACGCUACUGCUUUGGGUACUCUCAG
RNAcentral lists this ribosomal RNA (204 nucleotides) under Polistes gallicus. RNAcentral describes it as "partial 28S ribosomal RNA". The record is from RNAcentral. Lineage: Eukaryota; Metazoa; Arthropoda; Insecta; Hymenoptera; Vespidae.